Molecule: ribosomal RNA, 734 nt
Filed under: Salmonella enterica subsp. enterica serovar Kokomlemle
Lineage: Bacteria; Pseudomonadati; Pseudomonadota; Gammaproteobacteria; Enterobacterales; Enterobacteriaceae
Description: bacterial SSU rRNA
Rfam family: Bacterial small subunit ribosomal RNA
Source: RNAcentral
UGAAGAGUUUGAUCAUGGCUCAGAUUGAACGCUGGCGGCAGGCCUAACACAUGCAAGUCGAACGGUAACAGGAAGCAGCUUGCUGCUUUGCUGACGAGUGGCGGACGGGUGAGUAAUGUCUGGGAAACUGCCUGAUGGAGGGGGAUAACUACUGGAAACGGUGGCUAAUACCGCAUAACGUCGCAAGACCAAAGAGGGGGACCUUCGGGCCUCUUGCCAUCAGAUGUGCCCAGAUGGGAUUAGCUUGUUGGUGAGGUAACGGCUCACCAAGGCGACGAUCCCUAGCUGGUCUGAGAGGAUGACCAGCCACACUGGAACUGAGACACGGUCCAGACUCCUACGGGAGGCAGCAGUGGGGAAUAUUGCACAAUGGGCGCAAGCCUGAUGCAGCCAUGCCGCGUGUAUGAAGAAGGCCUUCGGGUUGUAAAGUACUUUCAGCGGGGAGGAAGGUGUUGUGGUUAAUAACCGCAGCAAUUGACGUUACCCGCAGAAGAAGCACCGGCUAACUCCGUGCCAGCAGCCGCGGUAAUACGGAGGGUGCAAGCGUUAAUCGGAAUUACUGGGCGUAAAGCGCACGCAGGCGGUCUGUCAAGUCGGAUGUGAAAUCCCCGGGCUCAACCUGGGAACUGCAUUCGAAACUGGCAGGCUUGAGUCUUGUAGAGGGGGGUAGAAUUCCAGGUGUAGCGGUGAAAUGCGUAGAGAUCUGGAGGAAUACCGGUGGCGAAGGCGGCCCC